Molecule: ribosomal RNA, 327 nt
Filed under: uncultured bacterium
Lineage: Bacteria
Description: bacterial SSU rRNA
Rfam family: Bacterial small subunit ribosomal RNA
Source: RNAcentral
UGGGGAAUUUUGGACAAUGGGCGCAAGCCUGAUCCAGCCAUGCCGCGUGCGGGAAGAAGGCCUUCGGGUUGUAAACCGCUUUUGUCAGGGAAGAAACGCUCUGGGCUAAUACCCUGGGGUAAUGACGGUACCUGAAGAAUAAGCACCGGCUAACUACGUGCCAGCAGCCGCGGUAAUACGUAGGGUGCAAGCGUUAAUCGGAAUUACUGGGCGUAAAGCGUGCGCAGGCGGUUAUGCAAGACAGAUGUGAAAUCCCCGGGCUCAACCUGGGAACUGCAUUUGUGACUGUAUAGCUAGAGUACGGUAGAGGGGGAUGGAAUUCCGCGU